This 799-nucleotide ribosomal RNA is filed under the name uncultured bacterium. RNAcentral's name for it is "bacterial SSU rRNA". It matches the Rfam family "Bacterial small subunit ribosomal RNA", at positions 61 to 868 of the family's 1533-position model. The record is from RNAcentral.
GUCGACGAGGUGCUUUUUGUAGCAAUACGAGAAGUAUCCUAGUGGCGAACGGGUGAGUAGCGCGUUGGUGACCUACCCCAAAGUGUGGGAUAACAGUUCGAAAGAACUGCUAAUACCGCAUGUGGUUAUCGGGUUUAGAAACCGAUAACUAAAGGAGCAAUUCGCUUUGGGAGGGACCUGCGUCCCAUCAGCUAGUUGGUGAGGUAACGGCUCACCAAGGCGACGACCGGUAGGGGACCUGAGAGGGUGACCCCCCACAAUGGAACUGAAACACGGUCCAUACACCUACGGGUGGCAGCAGUAGGGAAUAUUGCUCAAUGGGCGAAAGCCUGAAGCAGCAACGCCGCGUGCGCGAUGAAGGUCUUCGGAUCGUAAAGCGCUUUUAUGAGGGAUGAGAACGGACAGUACCUCAGGAAUAAGUCUCGGCUAACUACGUGCCAGCAGCCGCGGUAAAACGUAGGAGGCAAGCGUUAUCCAGAUUCACUGGGCGUAAAGCGCGUGCAGGCGGUUCGGUAAGUUGGGCGUGAAAUCUCCUGGCUUAACUAGGAGAGGUCGUCCAAUACUACCGGGCUAGAGAGUGGUAGAGGAAAAUGGAAUUCCCGGUGUAGUGGUGAAAUGCGUAGAUAUCGGGAGGAACACCAGUGGCGAAAGCGAUUUUCUGGACCAUUUCUGACGCUCAGACGCGAAAGCUAGGGUAGUAAACGGGAUUAGAGACCCCGGUAAUCCUAGCCGUAAACGAUGUAAACUUGGCGUUGGUGGCUUAAACACCAUCAGUGCCGCAGCUAACGCGAUAAGUUUA